This is a non-coding RNA of Orycteropus afer afer, 384 nucleotides long. NCBI's taxonomy places the organism in Eukaryota, Metazoa, Chordata, Mammalia, Tubulidentata, Orycteropodidae. The record is from the annotation of a RefSeq genome assembly.
AUCUGCACGGAACACGGACGAGUCUCCAUGGAGUCUGCGCUGGGCUGGGUUUUCCUUGUUGCUGUUUUCAAAGGUGUCCAGUGUGAGGUGCAGCUGGUGGAGUCUGGGGUAGGCCUGAGUCAGCCUGGGGGGUCGCUGAGACUCUCCUCUGCAGCCUCUGGAUUCACCUUCAGCAGUCAUGGCAUGAACUGGGCCCGCCAGGCUCCAGGGAAGGGCCUGCAGUGUGUCGCAGCUAUCAGUAGUGACGGUAGUUACAUAUACUACGCAGACUCCAUGAAGGGCCGAUUCACCAUCUCCAGAGACAACGCCAAGAACACGCUAUAUCUGCAAAUGAGCAGUCUGAAAGUCGAGGACACGGCCCUGUAUUACUGUGCGAGAGACACA